UCCUCCCUCCAAAUCAUAAAAGUUGCUUGUUUCACGUGGGGAGAGUAGCUCAUCGGCGUUUCUUGCUCUAAUGGGUAAUUACUCUCCAGCAACUGAUGGGGGCCGUAUUUUCCGAAGGAAGGAAGCAGUGCUCCCAGGCUCUGUCCAUUGGAGAUGCCACGCGGGCUCAGCUCUGGGUUUUACCUCUCCGCCCUGGACUAUUAAUUUGUCUGGCUCCAUAUUGAUUUUCUGUGCUGUGGUUUUGGGGCUGAGUUUGGGUUGAGACACAGGACUUGCUGCCUUGGCUCUUCUGUCACCCUCCAGCCCUCAGGUGAGGAGGGGGCCUGAGGUCUUCGAUGGGAUCACAGCCACCUUGCCCCCAACCAUGGAUUUCUUCAUCCAGGCAACUCUCCUUUGUCUGUUAUGUGCCUGGCACCCUGCUAGGCCAGCCUCACCUUCAAGGAGCUCACUGACCCAGCAUCCAGCUGGAGGAGCAGGUUUUAAGGGGUUACUUGCCAUGGCCAUCUGGCUGGCCCUCGGCCUGCUCUCUCCUGACAUCAAGCCAUCUGAAGGCCAGGCUCUGACGUGGCCACUCCAGGCUCCUUUGGAUUUGGCAGCCGCCUGUCAUUGCUCAGUCCUCAGGCCUCUGAAGGUUGAUCGGCGCCUCCUGGACCCACCCAUGGACUCUUCUUGGCUGAGUUGCUCUUUUACAUUUAUUUGUCUGCUUUUGAUUAAUACUUGUCCCCACCAGAGACUGUCAGCAACAACAAGGACAGUUUUCAGUCACCACUGUAUGCCCCGCACCCAGCAGGGGGCCUGGGGCACAGCAGCCCCGUGCCAAGUAGUACUGAGUGGCGGGCUGACUCCCGGAUGGGCAAACUCCCCCAACUUUCUCCUCUUUUUAUUCUGUUUUGGUUCUGAGCCUUUUCUGCAUCACAGAACACUGAGAACUCGGCUAAAACCCUCCAGGACAACGUGUGGGCACCAUCACACGCGGGACCCUCGUCCCUCCUGAAGCCGGCCAGGUCAAGGGUCCCCGGGUCAAGGGUUCUUGUCUAAAAGCUCCAGGCUCCAUCUGGCCCCUGCUGACACCCUCCUGGACCUGAGGUCCAGCUCAUGUGGGAGUGGGAGGGAGCACCAGCAGGCCCUGCAGAUGAUGGCUAAUGGAGGAAGGGCCGGCGAGCGAGGAGCAGGCCGGGAGGGGAGAGACGCUGACGAGAAAGCCCGGAACUGAGGCUUCUUCCUGUGUGUGGGGCUGGAGGUGGGAAAUCAUGGAGGCUUCCAGGGAGAUUUGGGCUGUUCCUCACCUUGGAGAUAAUGGACUGAAUCCAUGUUGCCCCGAACUUGCUCCAUCCCUGGGCUUUACCCCGAGUCUGAGGUUUAACACGGUCCCCUCUGGCAGCUGAAUUCAGAGGGCAGAGUCUCGGAGUUUUUAGAAUAGAAAAUAGCCUCAGACAUCAUGAACCAAGCUGCUCUGUGAUGAGGAUCAGGGCUGCCCCAGGGAGAAGCCCAAGGCAUCCUGCCCUACAUACUGAUCUGUAUCAUCCUCCGGGAGCAUAGGAUGUCCUGACUUAAUCCGAUCUGAUUCUUAUCUAAAGUUAUAGGACCACCCGAUAACCAGACCCCACCUGCACUGAUACCAUUUUUAUGAUUUUUUUUCAUGAUCUUUCCUUUGUCUUGUAAAGAAAUAACUCACAUACCUAUGCCUUAUAAAUUUAGCCCUGCCCUCAGCCCACUGCAGCUCUUACUGCCCGUGGGUCCUGUCCCCAUGCUAUUCCAUACUAUUCUCUGAAUAAAAGAGCACUACUGCCAGACCUUGAGGGUCCAAGAAAUCUUUCUUUUGACUCCUCAACUCACCGAGCCCGCAUC
RNAcentral lists this long non-coding RNA (1848 nucleotides) under Equus caballus (horse). RNAcentral's name for it is "lncRNA (ENSECAG00000057608.1)". Lineage: Eukaryota; Metazoa; Chordata; Mammalia; Perissodactyla; Equidae. The record is from RNAcentral.